This 545-nucleotide ribosomal RNA is filed under the name Alternaria palandui. RNAcentral's name for it is "eukaryotic LSU rRNA". The stretch from base 167 to 320 matches the Rfam family "5.8S ribosomal RNA". The record is from RNAcentral. Lineage: Eukaryota; Fungi; Ascomycota; Dothideomycetes; Pleosporales; Pleosporaceae.
GGGCUACAUAGCGGAGAAGGGGUGAUCUCUCGGGGUUACAGCCUUGCUGAAUUAUUCACCCUUGUCUUUUGCGUACUUCUUGUUUCCUUGGUGGGUUCGCCCACCACUAGGACAAACAUAAACCUUUUGUAAUUGCAAUCAGCGUCAGUAACAAAUUAAUAAUUACAACUUUCAACAACGGAUCUCUUGGUUCUGGCAUCGAUGAAGAACGCAGCGAAAUGCGAUAAGUAGUGUGAAUUGCAGAAUUCAGUGAAUCAUCGAAUCUUUGAACGCACAUUGCGCCCUUUGGUAUUCCAAAGGGCAUGCCUGUUCGAGCGUCAUUUGUACCCUCAAGCUUUGCUUGGUGUUGGGCGUCUUGUCUCUAGCUUUGCUGGAGACUCGCCUUAAAGUAAUUGGCAGCCGGCCUACUGGUUUCGGAGCGCAGCACAAGUCGCACUCUCUAUCAGCAAAGGUCUAGCAUCCAUUAAGCCUUUUUUUCAACUUUUGACCUCGGAUCAGGUAGGGAUACCCGCUGAACUUAAGCAUAUCAUUAANCCGGAGGAAAA